RNAcentral lists this ribosomal RNA (253 nucleotides) under uncultured bacterium. Its description in RNAcentral is "partial 16S ribosomal RNA". It matches the Rfam family "Bacterial small subunit ribosomal RNA", at positions 524 to 776 of the family's 1533-position model. The record is from RNAcentral.
GACGUAGGGCGCGAGCGUUGUCCGGAUUUAUUGGGCGUAAAGCGCGUGUAGGCGGCCCGGUAAGUCCGCUGUGAAAGUCGGGGGCUCAACCCUCGAAAGCCGGUGGAUACUGUCGGGCUAGAGUACGGAAGAGGCGAGUGGAAUCCCUGGUGUAGCGGUGAAAUGCGCAGAUAUCAGGAGGAACACCCAUUGCGAAGGCAGCUCGCUGGGACGUUACUGACGCUGAGACGCGAAAGCGUGGGGAGCAAACAGG